RNAcentral lists this long non-coding RNA (317 nucleotides) under Rattus norvegicus (Norway rat). Its description in RNAcentral is "long non-coding RNA NONRATT007196". The record is from RNAcentral. Lineage: Eukaryota; Metazoa; Chordata; Mammalia; Rodentia; Muridae.
CCAGAGACAGCCGCUUCUUCUUGUGCAGUGCCAGCCUCGUCUCAUAGACAAGAUGGUGAAGGUCAGUGUGAAAGGAUUUGGCCAUAUUGGGCACCUGGUUACCAGGACUACCUUCUGCUCUGCAUCUGGCAAAAUGUAGAAUGUUGCCAUCAAUGACCCCUUCACUGACCUCAAAUACAUGGUCUACAUGUUCCAGUACGACUCUACCCAUGGCAAGUUCAACGGCACUGUCAAGGCUGAGAAUGGGAAUCUUGUCAUCAAUGGGAACCCAUUACCAUCUUCCAGGAGCGAGAUCCUGCUAACAUUAAAUGGGGUGA